Molecule: ribosomal RNA, 253 nt
Filed under: uncultured bacterium
Lineage: Bacteria
Description: partial 16S ribosomal RNA
Rfam family: Bacterial small subunit ribosomal RNA
Source: RNAcentral
UACGUAGGGUGCGAGCGUUGUCCGGAAUUACUGGGCGUAAAGGGCGCGUAGGCGGCGUGUCAAGUCAGGCGUGAAAGCCCCGGGCUCAACCUGGGAACCGCGCUUGAGACUGGCAUGCUCGAGUUCGGGAGAGGAUGGUGGAAUUCCCAGUGUAGAGGUGAAAUUCGUAGAUAUUGGGAAGAACACCGAUGGCGAAGGCAGCCAUCUGGACCGACACUGACGCUGAGGCGCGAAAGCGUGGGGAGCAAACAGG